GGCAUGGUAGCCGAGUGGUAAAAGCGUUUAUAGCUAUUUACCGAAUAUCGAUGGUUCGAAUCCAUCCCGUACAACA
RNAcentral lists this transfer RNA (76 nucleotides) under Rhamnusium bicolor. RNAcentral describes it as "tRNA-OTHER". It matches the Rfam family "tRNA". From Rfam's summary of the family: Transfer RNA (tRNA) molecules are approximately 80 nucleotides in length. Their secondary structure includes four short double-helical elements and three loops (D, anti-codon, and T loops). The record is from RNAcentral. Lineage: Eukaryota; Metazoa; Arthropoda; Insecta; Coleoptera; Cerambycidae.